Molecule: ribosomal RNA, 177 nt
Filed under: uncultured bacterium
Lineage: Bacteria
Description: partial 16S ribosomal RNA
Rfam family: Bacterial small subunit ribosomal RNA
Source: RNAcentral
GCUGGAUUCGCUAGUAAUCGCGCAUCAGCCACGGCGCGGUGAAUACGUUCCCGGGCCUUGUACACACCGCCCGUCACACCAUGAGAGUUGGGAAUACCCGAAGCCUGUGAGCUAACUUUUAAGGGGCAGCAGUCGAAGGUAGAAUCAAUGAUUGGGGUGAAGUCGUAACAAGGUAUC